Molecule: ribosomal RNA, 253 nt
Filed under: Desulfovibrio piger ATCC 29098
Lineage: Bacteria; Pseudomonadati; Thermodesulfobacteriota; Desulfovibrionia; Desulfovibrionales; Desulfovibrionaceae
Also listed under: 2 other names
Description: partial 16S ribosomal RNA
Rfam family: Bacterial small subunit ribosomal RNA
Source: RNAcentral
UACGGAGGGUGCAAGCGUUAAUCGGAAUCACUGGGCGUAAAGCGCACGUAGGCUGUUAUGUAAGUCAGGGGUGAAAUCCCACGGCUCAACCGUGGAACUGCCCUUGAUACUGCACGACUUGAAUCCGGGAGAGGGUGGCGGAAUUCCAGGUGUAGGAGUGAAAUCCGUAGAUAUCUGGAGGAACAUCAGUGGCGAAGGCGGCCACCUGGACCGGUAUUGACGCUGAGGUGCGAAAGCGUGGGGAGCAAACAGG